UUUUUUCCCUUGCGUCUUUCCAUUUUUUAAGUAAAUAGACCUGUGAGGCUGGUAUUUCCAAUGUCGGCUUUUCAUUUAGAAUCUGUUCAUUGCGUUCUGCCUUCAGGAUUUAUAUAGUCUCUGUUAGGAGCACCUGUGAUUUCAUAGCCAAAGGCUUUAUUAUCUUUGCUUCAUCCCAUUUUAUUUGUAAAUCUUUAAUGUAAGCCUUACAGUAAGGGCUGUGAUGAGGUUCCCUACGGCUAUAUUUUUCUUGUGCUCUACCAUUCUCUGUUGUAAUGUUCUCGUAAUGACUCCUAUAUGUGCUGUACUUUGCUGGGAAUCCAUUAUCAUAGCUAGAAUUUUGUACACUCCCGAUUUCUGUCCUUCACUCCUUCUGUUUUUCAUUUCUUAUCGUGUUAAAUAUCAUUGGUGUUCUAUAGCAGGCUGGCCUUUUCUUUGCUUUUUUGAGAAUGUUCUUUACUGAGCUAAGUCUUGUCAUUGGGUAUGAUAAUGGAACAUACUGCUGGUUCAGUGCAUCUCUAGUAUUUCAGUUAGGUGAAUUGAGUAAGUUUUGAGCUAGGGCUUGUUAUCUUUGCUUGAAUGUCUCUUAUAAAGCCUUUUUUUGUAACCAUGCUGGAGGCCAACUUCAUAUAUAUACUUUAACUCUAU
Molecule: long non-coding RNA, 648 nt
Filed under: Androctonus crassicauda
Lineage: Eukaryota; Metazoa; Arthropoda; Arachnida; Scorpiones; Buthidae
Source: RNAcentral